RNAcentral lists this unclassified non-coding RNA (305 nucleotides) under uncultured crenarchaeote. Its description in RNAcentral is "partial contains 16S ribosomal RNA and 16S-23S ribosomal RNA intergenic spacer". Lineage: Archaea; Thermoproteati; Thermoproteota. The record is from RNAcentral.
CGUAGGGGAACCUGCGGCCGGAUCACCUCCUUCGAUUAAGGCCGGCAACUUAAGUGUAAAGGGUCAUGUGCCAUUGUACGUACGAAUGCAAUUCUCUGCAGGAUAUGCAGGGAAUGAAGGACCGAGCAAACGCAAGUUUGCAAUGACCGUCAUGUAUAGGAUAAAUCUGCAUCUCUCAAAUGGUUGUUAGACAUAAUAGUCUGACAGCAAUGAUAGAUGAAAUGUGGCUUUACAAUGUUCACGUAAAGUUUCAAUGCUUUAGACUACGCUGGGAAAACUGGUGCAAAGACGCCGGUUGGUGGAUG